Long non-coding RNA from Magnolia sinica, 429 nucleotides. RefSeq lists it as uncharacterized. Lineage: Eukaryota; Viridiplantae; Streptophyta; Magnoliopsida; Magnoliales; Magnoliaceae. The record is from RefSeq and is a predicted model, not a curated record. The transcript has 3 exons.
AUGGACGAGAGAAAUUUGAUUCUUCAAAAGGGUACAAAAUAUCAACUUAUGUAUAUUGGUGGAUUCGUCAGAUAGAAAUGCUGAAUUUCUCUUACAAGAAGUUAUGACGAUGCCAAUAUUAGGCAACUGAAGUAUAGAAGCCUCAGAAGGACCAGCUCCUACUACCAACAUCACCCGGCCAACUGGUACAGAAGAUAGACUCUGUUGCAAGUUCUAUUAUCAAUAUUAUUUCCACCUUUUAAGUUCUGAACAUGAAGAACAUCUUUGUUGUUAUUUGCUGCAAAUUUAUUUAUUUAUUAUAUAUUUGUGGAUCUUUUUUUGACUGGAUUAAGUGGGACUGGGUUGUAUUAUUAGAGUGGUUCUUUCACCUGCAACAUUAUAAAUAAAGUGGUGUAGAGGGAUCUUUCUACACUUUUUCUUCUGCUUUAA